AUUCCAGCUCCAAUGGCGCAUAUUAAAGUUGUUGCAGUUAAAAAGCUCGUAGUUGGAUUUCUGGCAGGAGCGACCGGUCGGCCCAUUGUGGUGUGUACUAGUGUUGCAUCUAGCCAUAUUUGUGGAGAGCGUGUGUGGCAUUAAUUUGUCGUGCUCGGGACCCGCAUCGUUUACUGUGAGAAAAUUAGAGUGUUCAAAGCAGGCUUAUGCCUUGGAUGUGUUAGCAUGGAAUAAUAAGAUAAGACUUUGGCGGUCUAUUUUGUUGGUUUGCACGCCAUUGUAAUGAUUGAUAGGGACAGAUGGGGGUAUUCAUAUUUAAUUGUCAGAGGUGAAAUUCUUGGAUUUAUGAAAGAUAAACUACUGCGAAAGCAUUUACCAAGGAUGUUUUCAUCA
Molecule: ribosomal RNA, 393 nt
Filed under: Stramenopiles sp. MAST-2D
Lineage: Eukaryota
Description: partial small subunit ribosomal RNA
Rfam family: Eukaryotic small subunit ribosomal RNA
Source: RNAcentral